AUGAUAGAUUUGCAAACUCAAACUUGCCAUUCAAGUGAUGCAGCUGAGGGAAAUACCUCUACAUAGCUCUCAUUAAUGACAUAAAAAGAUAAAAUGAAUAAUUUCCUUGGCACAUGAUCCGGAUACAUAUGGGGGAGCAGGCCAAGCACCAAGAGGGGGUUUGAGAAGGAGGAGAACAUAAAUGGUUAUUUCUCUACUCAAAGUCAGGAACAAAUGCUUGAGACCUUCAAGACUCCGCAGAUGCAGAUCACUAACCUUAAGAACUUGGAUGCACGUUGACAAAUGGAGUUUGACUCAUCUCCUUCAGAAUAAUAUCUUCUAUCUUUGUUUGCCCCAAUAUUAAAUGCCUCUCAUGCUCUUCUUUUGGCUGAGUCAUGAACAUUCCUUGGCUCCUUCUACAGCAUCUGAGGGUCCGUUCAGCCAUGGUCAAAAAAAAAAAGAAAAAGAAAUUGACAUGAGGAGAAGAAGAGGGCAAUAAUCUCACACUCAUCACCCAACUUCUAUUUUAAUGGUUUUCGGUUAAGACUGAAACCAAACAAUACAAAUUUUUUGUUGCUCAAUCCUGCCAGAUAACAUGGGUAUUUCCCUUGCAUUGUAAUCUUCCUUACUCUUGAUGAAUUGUUUAGUGUGUUUAUUGGGUUGGAUGAGGUUUUAUUUUUUUUGGAGUUGGGUUUUUCAUGAUUGUUCUGAUAAUUCAAUUGAAUUUGACGUUUGUCUGCUUUUAGGGACAUUGUUUGGUUUUCACCCAUAACGUUCAUGUUCUCGAAGGGAGGGUGGCUGUUUAGGAACCCAAACAAAUGCCUACUCUUUUUCUAUCUUGUUUACUAGCUAUCAGUAACACCUUCUGUCCACCAAAAGAAAAGCUAGCUCUGAUGAACACAAGGCUUUAAUGAUUAACAUUCAUAUAACAAAAAUAUUAUUGGUUCAAGGAUUGGAAAUGCUUCUAGCCCAUGGAUAUUAGUGAAAAGUUAUAAACAGUGUUGGAUAAAUGCCUGACUUUAUGAGAAGUAGGACUGAUUAAAGGAUUCUCCUUUACUUGGAAUAUCAUCAAUUCGAUGGAUGUAAUUAGUGAUAAAUAGUGUUAGAUAAAUGCCCGACUUUAUGAGAAGUAGGCCUAGCUAAAUGAUUCUCUUUUACUUUGCAUAGCAUCAAUUGGAUGGAUUUGAUUGGUCAUUAAACUUUUU
This is a long non-coding RNA of Morus notabilis, 1184 nucleotides long. RefSeq lists it as uncharacterized. The transcript is spliced from 4 exons. The record is from RefSeq and is a predicted model, not a curated record. NCBI's taxonomy places the organism in Eukaryota, Viridiplantae, Streptophyta, Magnoliopsida, Rosales, Moraceae.